AUAACAAACAUAUAUGCACCUUGUAUAAGUUCAAGAAUAUGGCUUGAACGUUUCUACCAGCUACCUUAAAUGGCUUGUCUACAAGAUAAAGUAAGACCAAU
This 101-nucleotide non-coding RNA is filed under the name Rossellomorea vietnamensis. RNAcentral's name for it is "Bacillus vietnamensis Guanine sequence". It matches the Rfam family "Purine riboswitch aptamer". From Rfam's summary of the family: Riboswitches are metabolite binding domains within certain messenger RNAs that serve as precision sensors for their corresponding targets. Allosteric rearrangement of mRNA structure is mediated by ligand binding, and this results in modulation of gene expression. Lineage: Bacteria; Bacillati; Bacillota; Bacilli; Caryophanales; Bacillaceae. The record is from Rfam by way of RNAcentral.